Molecule: long non-coding RNA, 431 nt
Organism: Raphanus sativus (radish)
Lineage: Eukaryota; Viridiplantae; Streptophyta; Magnoliopsida; Brassicales; Brassicaceae
Exons: 2
Source: RefSeq, a predicted model, not a curated record
AACGGUUCUUAUAUUUUGUUUUUUAUAUGAGUAGAUAAAAACCAGCGGUGAUUUGAACCAUUUUUUCUUAUAUGAUGAUGACGAAUUUGGUUGGAAAAUUCUGAGAAGAUUGGAUCCGAUCAUGUGAUUAAGUAAUUUUUUUGACUACCAGAGGCAUGAAGUAUUGAAAGAGGAAACUGGUUCUGGUCUUGGGGUGACAUAUUCUCCAAUCUGGUUAACAUCACUCAAGCGAUUCAGUUUUAUGUUAUUAAUGGAGAUUAAAGAUGAAAACGAGAUACAAACGACAAAAUGUCUAUUGAAGAACUCAUGUGGAGAAUUCAUUUAGUUUUUUCUAUUUGAUAAGAUUAUUCAAUUAUGUAUUACUCUUGUUCAUUUUUUUCAUUCUUCUUGUUUUCUGACAUUUUUUUGUAUAUCUUUUAAUUUCAAAUAUG